GGUGAGAGGCCCGGAGCGUACGCUGGCCCCUCCGGGUCUCUCGCCGGGCACCUCCCAGUCGCGCCCGCCUCGUGCCGGAACCCUCAAGCUCACGGUGAGGAGCGGGCGCCUUCCAAGGUCAGCCCGCUCUACCCGUGAGCGUUUUGGGGUCAGGGAGCCAUAUGCUGUCCCGGACCCCCACCCUGGGCAGCAGCCGGUGGAGGGCACCUCGGCCAGGCUGUCCGUCAUGAGGCAGCUGCGGGUCUCCAUCUCUGGUGCCGGGAUCCUCAGAGGCUCCCCCAGGACACCUGUUCUCUGGGGCCCCAACUCUGGAUCAGAAGUUCUGAGUGGUCCUGGGAGUGUGUGUUUUAACAAGAGCCCCAGCUGACCUGGGCACAUGGCUGCUCGCUACCCUCUAAUAAACUGGCUUCCUGGGGA
This is a long non-coding RNA of Suricata suricatta (meerkat), 417 nucleotides long. RefSeq lists it as uncharacterized. The transcript has 2 exons. Lineage: Eukaryota; Metazoa; Chordata; Mammalia; Carnivora; Herpestidae. The record is from RefSeq and is a predicted model, not a curated record.